Molecule: long non-coding RNA, 322 nt
Organism: Ahaetulla prasina
Lineage: Eukaryota; Metazoa; Chordata; Lepidosauria; Squamata; Colubridae
Exons: 3
Source: RefSeq, a predicted model, not a curated record
CUGCACCCUCUGUGAAAAGUUGUGCGGAUGCUAGAAAUGAAACGGAGAACACGGACAAUCAAGAGAUAGCAGAGAAAUUACAUCCGCAUCCUCUGGUGACUCAACGGACUAAGUCUGUCUGUUAUUAACACAGCUGCUUGCAAUUACUGCAAGUUCAAGUCCCACCAGGCCCAAGGUUGACUGAGCCUUCCAUCCUUUAUCAGCCAUCUUGAACCAAUUGGGAUAUUCUCCUGAUGGAGCUGAGGCUGACCCUCACACUCCUGACUUUCCCGAACAGUCUUAAACCUGGUCUCUAUUGGCUGACCAGAUAGGGACACUCUAG